This 342-nucleotide ribosomal RNA is filed under the name Klebsiella pneumoniae. RNAcentral's name for it is "partial 23S ribosomal RNA". It matches the Rfam family "Bacterial large subunit ribosomal RNA", at positions 419 to 765 of the family's 2925-position model. Lineage: Bacteria; Pseudomonadati; Pseudomonadota; Gammaproteobacteria; Enterobacterales; Enterobacteriaceae. RNAcentral also lists the same sequence under 1 other name. The record is from RNAcentral.
GGGACACGUGGUAUCCUGUCUGAAUAUGGGGGGACCAUCCUCCAAGGCUAAAUACUCCUGACUGACCGAUAGUGAACCAGUACCGUGAGGGAAAGGCGAAAAGAACCCCGGCGAGGGGAGUGAAAAAGAACCUGAAACCGUGUACGUACAAGCAGUGGGAGCACCUUCGGGUGUGACUGCGUACCUUUUGUAUAAUGGGUCAGCGACUUAUAUUCUGUAGCAAGGUUAACCGUAUAGGGGAGCCGCAGGGAAACCGAGUCUUAACUGGGCGUUAAGUUGCAGGGUAUAGACCCGAAACCCGGUGAUCUAGCCAUGGGCAGGUUGAAGGUUGGGUAACACUAA